Photinus pyralis (common eastern firefly) is the source of this 1237-nucleotide RNA transcript. RefSeq lists it as uncharacterized. The transcript has 3 exons. Lineage: Eukaryota; Metazoa; Arthropoda; Insecta; Coleoptera; Lampyridae. The record is from RefSeq and is a predicted model, not a curated record.
UACGAUUAACUGUUAUUAGUAGUAAUUUGGCCGUAGUGCAUUAUACAUUGAUUUUAGGAUGUCAUUAUAUAAGCGACUCACGCUACCUACAUCAAUUGAAUCUUGUAAACGAUGAAAGAUGAUAGUAAGUACUUUCGUACAGAAAGACUCUUUUUUAGAGUUGGUGGUAUUGCUCUUGGGGGAAAGGAAGGAUUUGUUUACAUGAUAUAUUCGAGAAUUGUGGUAGUAUCAGUUUUCAUUGUAUAUCCUGUUAUUUGUACUGUCGAUUUAUUGAGAAAAUAUUUUAACGAAUCCGCUACUGACUGGUUCUGCACCCUCGUGUCCUUAAUGGGGAUCAAAUUUGGAUUUGUAAUGCUCUUUAACCCAGGAAAUCUGAUCUAAUCAAUCAAUCUUAUCAUAGGAAGUCACCACUUAAUCUGGUCACCGUAAUAAUUCACGAUACCUCUUAGUCCGUAUUAAUUGAAAACGUCAUCAAGCUCCAGAGAUUUCUGCGAGGUGGAAAAAUUACCCAAGGCAAAGGCAACGCUCUUUGAUAGUACAAUAUUCAUUAUUGUAUUUUUUAUUCGAAGGAGUUUCGAUAAAGCUUUAAGGACGUUUGAAAGGCCAUCGUUUGAUGCCAACGAAUAUCGCGGUGCAUAUGACGAAGAGAAGAAGAUGUUGCGCGAUUGGUUGGCUCUCUCAAUAAAAUUCGUAAGUAACAGUUAAGAAAAUGACGCUUGAUUUUAACCUCACCAAUAAAAAAUUGGGAGGUUAUUGAAAUCACUCCAAAUUUCGAUAUUUAGAUUUCACCGGAUAUGUACGUCGCAUCAAGGUCCCAAAAAAAUGCUUUUUAAAAAAUGUGUGUGCUUACGGAAUGAUUCUUGGUAAACAAGAUUUGUCUGAAAUGUUGUAUCAAUGUUCCCUCUAAUGGUCCUGAAAGCUGAGAAGAUUUUGGUAAAGGAUUGGAAAAUUGGAAAUGUCCUUUUGGCUAUAAUACUUACAUUUAUUAAAUAAAGUAUGAGCAACAAAUUUUUGAUUGGGAGUUUAUAGUUCUUGAUCAAGUCUCAUUUCCUUAACUAUGAGCAGAAACGAUUCCAUUGUACUUAAAUAAUCUUCCAGAUUUACACUUUUACAAUACCAGGUUUAUUAGUUUGCGGUGGCCAAAUCUUCCUCAGCCUUGCAUGGAGAAUUGUCAAAUCCGACCCUAAGGAUUGGUGGUUACCUUGGGGUUCGAUGAGUCUAGUUAAUGUGAAAGAAA